CCUCCUCAUUUGCGCAAAUCUUCCACUUUUGAAUUACUCACAUCAGUCCUCUGGCGCUGCCGCACAAUUUCCCUAAAACCCGACCCUGAAGAGGAAGUCCGCGUUCUUUGCAUUGUCAAUGCACGUUCCAAGUUCAAUCCACCCUUACCUAACGGCUUCUACGGUAACGCCUUUGCGUUCCCCGUAGCAGUCACGACCGCGGCUAAAUUGUGCAAAAAUCCACUAGGAUAUGCACUUGAGCUAGUGAAGAAGGCUAAGUCAGACGUGACUGAAGAAUACAUGAAAUCGGUAGCGGAUUUGAUGGUGAUGAAAGGGAGGCCUCAUUUCACUGUGGUGCGGACUUAUCUCGUGUCCGACGUGACUCGAGCGGGAUUCGGAGAAGUAGAUUUCGGAUGGGGGAAAGCAGUGUAUGGUGGACCGGCUAAAGGAGGAGUAGGGGCAAUUCCUGGUGUGGCUAGUUUUUACAUACCAUUUAGAAACAAGAAUGGUGAAAAUGGAAUUGUGGUCCCAGUAUGUUUGCCUGCCUUUGCAAUGGACAUAUUCGUUAGGGAACUCAAUGGCAUGUUGAAAGGUGAAGAUCCAUUAGGCAAGUACACAAACUAUGCCAUUAUCAAACCUGCACUUUGAGAUGUUAAUCGUAACUCGUAUGCAAUAUUUUUUUACUAUAUAUGUUGGUUUUGUAAAGCAUUUUAAUAUUAUUAAAUUAUGUUAAGAGUGCUUUUUCCAAUUCCUUUCCUGCGUAAUUACAUUUUUUUGGUGCAUUACUUUAUUUUGUCGGUUGAUGACAAUUGAUGGAAAUUAUUUGAUGCCAUCUUUGUGACAAAAAUUAUUAUGUGAGAGGCACACUUAUUGUCAGUUGUAUGAGGCUUUUGUUGGCUGCCAAAUGUACAAAUGGAACCCAUUACCUUAUCUAUUUCAUCUUCUUACUCUUUUUCAUUCAUUUUAAACUUUUCCUUCUACUGUCUUUUUCCUCCUCUGUAAGCUACUUCAUUUGUCGAAGUCAUAAAUAAUUUUUGAGACUUGCCCAAAAUGUCUAAUAUGCCUAUUUUACAUUUGUAUAUUAUAUAUUUGAGAAAAAAUUAAAGUGUAUGUGGCGAGAAAAUUUUAAUUUAAUUUUUUAAUGAAAUGGAAGAAAUUGAAGGUAAUGAAAUUACAAACAAAAAAAUCGUAAAAUUUUGCGUAUUAAUUUCAUAAAAUUGGACCUUUUAUUUUUCUGUACGUAUUUUAUAGAAGACAUAAUACAUAAACAUGACCCUUAACUUGACUUCAACGGACAACUAUGCCCUCCAACUUUGAGUGUGCACAAGUAGACACUUAAACUUGUAUAAAAUUGAACAAGUAGACAUACAUGUCCUACAUGACAUAAUACAUGUAGGACGCCACGUAGGAUAUAAAAUUUUCAUGUAGGGUGCCAUGUAGGACGUAUGUGUCUAUAUGUUCAAUUUUAUACAAGUUUAAGUGUCUACUCGUGCACACCCAAAGUUAAAGGUCAUAGCGUUGACGUCAAGUUAAGGGGCAUGUUUAUGUAUUAUGCAUUUAUAUAGAAUGAUAUAUACGAAAUAUGAGAAUUUAUAUAUUUUGUUUUGUGUUUGUUUAUAAAAAGAUUAUACAUUGAUUUUUUAAUAUAACUCUUUUCAUCAUAUAUAUAUAAACUUUUUCAAAAUUUAAAAAAAUGUUAUAAUUAUUUUUUAAAAAAAAUUCUUUAUUCUAUUCAUGUGUUUCUCUUUAUAAUAAUCAUGUUGUUUGCAUUUACUUCAUAUUUUUAUUUUUAUUUUUAUUUUAAUAAUGUCAAGAAUGAAUUUUCAUGUUCAAAAUAACUCAUGUCUUUUUAAUUGAUUAUUUUUAUUUAAAUCAAGCAUCAUCAAGACAUAGUAUAUCCCAACUAAAUUUUUAACUUUUUGUAAAAAAAUAAAAUCGUUGGAACGAAUUUAUCAAAUUUCUUAAAUAAUUAAAUUCUUAGAUAAUGCAUACAUUUUUUGAAGGAUCCUAUAUUAUCAUAUGUUUUCUAAAAAUCGACCAAAACCAAAUAGAAAAAAAAAAGUUAAAAAAAAAUAAAGUGAUAAAAAAUCAACUAAAUUAAUUUAACUUGAUUUCAACAUUUGAAAAAUCAAAUUAAUUAAUUUAAUAAAAAAUUAUCCAAACUAAAUCACAGCUACUCCUACUAAAAAUAAUUAAAUUUCAACUUUUGAUAAAUUAAUUAAUUAAUACGAAAAUAAUAAAAUUACAAAAAGAAACGGAAAAGAAGAAGAAGAUAUGGAAUUGGAGAAAAAGAAUAAAGAAAUGGAGAAAAAAAUUAUUCUGGGCGAGGCACACAUACUGUCAGUUGUGUGAGGCCUCAUUUGGCUGCCACAUGUAUACUGUGGGACCCAUAAUGUACUUAUUUCCUUACUUUUUCUUUUCCAAGUUUAAUCUUUUCUUUGGAGUACUUUUCAUUUUCUUUUUUUUUGCUUGUUAAUUCUUAGUGUAAAUUUUAUUUUUAAUUCUUUGUUAUAAUAAAGAAACUUUGAAACUCACCCACGGUAUCUAUUAUAUAUUUUAUAUAUCUAUUACUAUUUAUUUGAGGGGAAACUAAAGUAAUAUGUCGAAAAAAAUUAAAUUUAUUUAUUUUUGGAUGAAUUCAAGAAAAUUGAGGAUAGUGAAAUUGAAAAAAAAUAAAAAUUCUUCAAUAAAGUAAAAAUUCAUGUAAUCAACCAAUUGAACUACUAAAAUUCAAUCGACAUUUUUUAUUACACUUAAAUAUAUAAUUUAAUUUUAAUUAUUUAAAUUUUAGUCAUUAAUUUUUAUUUUUAUUUUGGGAUUUCAAUUUUAAUCACUCAAUUCUUAGUUAUCAAAUAUGUUUUUUUUAUUUUUGUUUAUGAUUAAUAUUAAUAAUAAUGUAUUAAUGAUAUCAAACACUGAAUUAUCUUUUCUUUUUCAGAUUUGUUAAAUUUUCCACUUCUAUGGCAUGUAUCCAAUAAAUAUUGCCAAUAUUGAUUUUGUGUUUCUCGUUAAAGAUUUUCUUUAUGUUUAGUAUCUUAAAAUGUGAAACAAAACUUUUAUAGAUUCAUUUUUUUCUUGUGGGUUACGAAAAUUAAUAGAAAAAAAGAGUCAAACAAAUACAUUUGUGAAAGCACAAAAUAAAUAAUUGUAUGUAUUUAUUUUUUUCACUAAAGGUAGGACUAAAAAAAAAACUGUAAAAAUAUUGGUAAAGGAAAGGGUAAAAUUUGAGAAAUUGGAAAUGUGAGAGAGAGAAAGUGUGACAAUAAAAGGGACCCACAAAAAAUACUUGUCAAAAGAAAAUGGUGCCCUCACACACAACUAUUGUUGGUUGUGCCUCAAUCACCAUAAAUUUUUUCAGAAAUGGAGUCUUUUAACUUCUUCUUCUUUUAGUGGAACCCAGACUCCACUUGGCAAAGUAUGAAAGGAACUCAUACAACUAUUGUCUGACAUGUAAUAUAUGUGCCUCUCACAUGAUCCUCUCUUAUAAAUAUAAUAAUCUCUCGGUCCCUGGGUCAUUUAUUUCUCACUAUUUAUUAUUUUAAGGUAAAGGGUCAAAUAUGUCUCUAAACUAUUCAAAAAGGUCUAAUUAUACUCUCCGUUUAAAGUUUGGCUCACUCAUGUACUCGUCGUCCAACUUUUGGUCUAAAUAUGCCCUUAUGAGAGUUAGUUGGCAUGCUGGACAUAUCCAGUUCAUUUUUCAUUUCUUUAAAGAGCAACUUUUACAUAUAGCAAACACAAAAUUCGUAUUUGUAUGCCUAUAACAAAAUUUGCAUAAUUGCGCUCCAUAGCAAACAUAAAUAUGUAUAUUUCGCUAUACAUAUACAAAAGAAAGCAGUUGUAUAAUCUACUUUGAUAUAUAUAUACAAAAAGAUAAAUUGUAUAAAGUGAGAGAGGCGAGUGAGCGAGCGAGAUCUGGGAGAGUGACGAGCGAGAUCUGGGAGAGGGGAGAGAGGGGAACGAAAAAAUAUGUAUAUAUACAAUUUUCACGCAUUUAUACAAUUUAGACGUUUUUGUAUAAAAGUGAGAGAGGCGAGUGAGAGAGCGAGAUCUGGGAGAGGGGAACGAAAAUAUAUGUAUAUAUACAAUUUUCUCUCGCUUUAUACAAACACAAACGCACUUUAUACACUUGCGUUUGUAUAAAAAACGAGAGAGGCGAGGGAGAGAACGAGAGUGGCGAGCAAGAUUCACCAGGAGAGAGGUGAAAUAGCAACAGUUUGCUAUGAGAUACAAUUAAAUCAAACUAUAUUUAUAGCAUUUAAUUGGAAUUAAUAGUUUGUUAUUAUAUACAAUUUUCCCUUCUUUAAAUGACACAUGGAAUUGUCAUGUCAUUUUGACUUUACCACAUGACAUUUAUAUGAAAAUGGAAAGGGAUCAAUUAUGCCCCUAAAAAAUUCAAACCCAUAAACACCUAAUCCGACCAAUAAAUCAACCCCCCCUUUUAAAUAAACUACCCGACUCGUUUUCAAUAAUUUUGUUUAAAUUUUUAAUUUUUCGGUAAAUCCCAAAAAUUAGUAAUUGAUUAAAUAAAAAAUAGGAAAAAAUAUAGGAAAAAAAUAUAAAAUUAAUGCCAAAAAAUUCAACAAAUAAAUAUUGAACCUUAAAUUCAACAAUUUCAACUAAUUUUUUUAAAUUUUUAUUAUUUUUGGUAAAUCCCGAAAAUGAGUAAUUGAUUAAUAAAAAAUAGGAAAAAUAUGGAAAAAAAUAUAAAAUUAACGCCAAAAUAUCACAAAUAGAUAUAGUAACCUUAAAUUUAAAAAUUUCAAUAAUUUUUUUUAAUUUUUAUUUUUUUUAAUAAAUUACUCAUUUUCAAAAUUUGCCGAAAAAAAAUAAAAAAUUAAAAAAAAAUUGUUGAAAUUUUUGAAUUUAAGGUUACUUUAUUUGUUUGUGAUUUUUUGGCGUUAAUUUUAUAUUUUUUCAUAUUUUUAUAUUUUUUAUUAAUCAAUUACUCAUUUUCGGGAUUUACCAAAAAUAAUAAAAAUUUAAAAAAAUUGUUAGAAAUUGUUGAAUUUAAGGUUACAAUAUUUAUUUGUGAAUUUUUGGCAUUAAGUUUAUAUUUUUUUUCAUAUUUUUCCUAUUUUCUAUUAAUCAAUUACUAAUUUUUGAGAUUUAUUGAAAAAAAUAAAAAUUUAAACAAAAUUAUUGAAAAUGGGUCUGGUAGUUUAUUUAAAAAGGGGGUUGAUUUAUGGGUCGGAUUAGGUGUUUAUGGGCUAGAAUUUUUUAGGGGCAUAAUUGAUCCCUUUCCAUUUUCAUAUAAAUGCCAUGUGGUAAAGUCAAAUGACAUGACAAUUCCAUGUGGCAUUUAAAGAAAUGAAAAAUGAGCUGGAUAUGUCCAGCAGGCCAACUAAUGCCCAUAAGAGCAUAUUUAGACCAAAAGUUGGACGGUGAAGGCAUGAGUGAGCCAAACUUUAAACGGAGGGUAUAACUAGACCUUUUCAAAUAGUUUAGGGGCAUAUUUGGCCCUUUACCCAUUAUUUUAUUAUCUUCAUUUAUUUUGGAGACAAGAAAAUAGAGAGUGUAUAAAAGUUGGUAAAAAAAAGAGUUGUUAUUAAUUGUGGAGCUUUAUACUUAACUCUUGUCUAGAGUUUGUUGAGUUAUAGUUUGUGGUUAGGUUAUUGUAUCGUAGAGGGGACAAGUCAAGAAGACUAUUGUUGGACCGAUGAAAAAUAUUUGGUAUAGUGAACUCGAAUCUCCUUAAAGAGAGCGAGAUAUCCGCACCUCAAUUCGAAGAGAUUUUAAUUUCUUCAUUUUAUUUUCAAUUGUAGUUUAUAAUCUAGUAAUUUUCUUAAACACUAUAUGAUGGAUCCAAAAUGUCUUGGCAAAUUAAAGGCCAUAGAGUUUGUUUUAUAUGCCAAAAAAUCUUACAUGCAGCUUUGGUAUAAUUUCUUGUAUACAUAUAUGUCAAGUGGUUUAUGAGAAUGAAAAUAUUUAAUUUUGAUUACAAAUUUGGAUGUAAAAAAAUUACUCAAAUUCACAUGCUCGAAAAAAGUAGCAGUUAUGUCUCAAAGACCGUUGUAAAAUACACAUUAACAAUCAGUUCUCUUAUUUAUGCACUCGAAAAAAGUAAAAUACACGAUAAAUUAGUCAGGUGUGUCUGAUAGACACUUUUUGAGUGGGUAUGAUAUUCAAGAAAAGGACGGUCUUAUUGAGGUGUCUAAAUGGAAUUAAUUAUAAAAUGUGCAAGUUCAAAAGUCCGCUUAUAUAUUUAACAUAAUAUCUACAUAUUUGAAAACUUACAAAAAAUAUUACAAUUCAAUAUAAAAUCACAUAAAAAUUAUUUGACUCUCGAAACCGUGAUAACUUCGUGACAUAAAAUUAGUGCUCAAGAAAGUACUUCGAAAAUACAUUUUAUAGAAAUUUUAUAUGCAAUAUGUUAGCUAAUUAUAACAUGUGCGCAUGUUUUAAAUAAUUGACUUAUAAGUGAAAUGAGGAUAGUACGUAUUGCUCCUAUAAGUGAAACAUUAGUACCUUAUUGAACCCAUACAAGCUUAAACUUUCGUCGACACUAAAUAAAGAUUUACAUACACUUCCAUAUAACUACCCUUUCAGAAACUUGAAAAGGACUAUAACCAAUUGAAGAAAUCAACUUGAAAAAAUAAAAUAAAUCAUUACUACUAAUCAGUUGUUGAGUAUGAAAACUUUUUUUAUUAAUAUUAGAAUCUAGAUGAUUAAUAUUAAUUAGUCAAGUUUCAAAUCCUCAUAUAGUCAAUAAAAUGCAGCUGCCGUGAAAUUGGAUUCUGACAACCAUUUCCAUGUGUUACUUUUUCUAACAAAAAAACAAAAUAAUAAGUAAUUUUUGGAUUCGGCUCCCCUUCAGUGGAGCAUCCGUCCAGUUCCUUCAGUUGGGGGUUAAUUUUGCUACACGUGUCCCUCAAAUUAAUAGAUGGUUAAGAUUUGAUUAUCCAAACCAGCCAUUUUAACUAUGGUCAAUAAUUACAUACUGUAUUACUUCUCCAUUACAAUCCACUUUCCUCUGCUAGAAUAAUUCAAUAUCAGAAAAAGGAAGAAGAGCAACUCUAAGUUAUAACAUUUUGCAAAAUCAAGUAAAGAAAAACGCAGAAAUACUAUCCCAUCGUAUUUUCUCUAUUUUUUACUUUAGAAGAAAGGAAAAGAGAACUGUUUUGAUCACCAGAGAAAUGUAAAGUUAUGAGUUUUUUUACUAUUGAUGAAUUUCAAUUAAAGUAUAAUCCUUUUCAUUUUUUCGUCUUCCAACUCUAUCCUCCUUUCAUAUAUGAAAAUUUAAGAAAAUAUAUCAAACCCAGUUAAUACACCAUCGUAAUUUCAAUUAAGCUUCAACUCGUGCACCUGGCUACAUAACUAAGAAGUAAUAUUUUUUAGCUUUGUAUAGGCUAGAGAAUUCUCCUGGGUUUCAAUUGAUGUGAUAAAGGGCCAUGAACUUCCAUUUUUCCAUACUUAUUAGCCUGUCAUGAAAGCAAUUUCAGCAUAAAUUUUUUCCAGAUACUUCAAAUCUUCACCUGAUAUACCAUUGAAAGUACACGCUAGUUAUAAUUUGAGUUUUAACUUGAUGAAAUUUUUCAGUGUGCAAUUUUGUAGAUCUGAAAGGGAAAGAAGAGGGUUGGGAAUCCGUGGAGAGAGAAGGAAGAUAAUGUUGACUAUGGUUAAAUGGUUGGUUUUAGCAAAUAAUCUGAACCGUCUAUUAAUUUGAGGGAUACAUGUAGCAAAAAUUAACCCCCAACUAGAGGAACUGGACGGAUGCUCCACUGGAGGGGAGCCAAAUCCGUAAUUUUUUUGUUAUGUUUUUCUUUAAUUUUUAGCAAUUUUUUAGUUUUAUGUUUCCGCAUGACAUAUUUAAGACAUAAAGUUAAAUGUUAUUUUGGUAUAUUAACAUAUCUUAAUUCAUGUCAAAAUAUGAUAAGCAGAUUAAAAUGAAAGAAGUAUUUUUUUUAUAUUUAAUACUCCAAUAAUUUAAUAAUCUUCUCAUUCUAUAUAUCUUAAUGAGAUAAUUUAUAAUCACCUACUAGUUUCUAAUUUAUUUUUUUACUUUGGUUAUUUUUAUUGCUUUACUAUAUAUAAGUACUUUUUUUUCCCAAUAUUUUCAUAAUAGCAUUUAACUGUUGCACCGUAAUGUUUAAUAGGAUCCGGCUCCUCUCUAUUUUCUCCAAGUUCAUGCUUUGAUGUGAGACACAUGGUAUAUGUAAGAAUUAAUGGCUAAGAUUUGAUUGAUUAAAAUAAGAUUCUAAUUAUAAUUUAGAUAAUUAAUAUUUCAUAAAAAUAGUAAUGUCACAAUCAUACAAAUAUAUUAUCUUGUCCAUAAAUAUAUUAUAAAAAAAAUUCUUUUUUUUUUUCUUUCUCUACGAGUAUUUACGUUCUGUUUUUUUUUUAAUUGAGUUAGUGUUAGAUUGCAGUUUUGAUCUUUCUCUUUAAAAUUGGUUAUCACAUAUAAUUAAUAGCAAAAAUACUCACAGGAAAAUAAUAAUAUAAAAAUAGAAAAUAUUUAACAUAUUUAGGACAAAAACAGAUGAUAAUACUAGCAGGAAAAAAAUUAGAUAAAAGAGAAUUUAAGUCAAAGUUGUUUAAUUUGUCGAAUUAUAAAUCAUUUCAUUAAAAAUAAAAUAAAUAUUUUAAAGUUAAACUAUUACUACUAAAUAUAAAAAUAUAUCAUUCUUUUUGUGUCAAUGAUAUAAAUUGAGAGAGAGAACUAUAAUUUAUGCCUAGCUAAGAGCCAUCAGAUAAAAUUAAUACUAUCGUAGUAAUAUAAACUACCUUAUUUUAACAUGCAAGUAGCCUGUUACUUGCUCUAUAUAUAGCUUAUGCUGUUUAGGAAAUUAUGUACACAACCACUAAUCCAAAAUCUUCUUCUUCAUAUCUCGAUUACUCCAUUUUGUUCAGUAAUGGAUUCAAUUAAGCAAUCAUCAUCACAAUUAGUGUUCACAGUGAGAAGGCAAAAAACAGAGCUAAUUGCUCCAGCAAAGCCAACUCCACGUGAAACUAAAUUACUAUCAGACAUUGAUGAUCAAGAAGGUCUUCGAUUCCAAAUUCCGGUCAUUAACUUUUAUCGUAAGGAUUCGUAUUCGAAUUCUUCUAUGGGAGGAAAUCAUGAUCCUAUAAAAGUUAUUAAAAAAGCUAUAGCUGAAACACUUGUUUUUUUUUAUCCGUUUGCUGGUCGGCUCCGGGAAGGAAAUGGCCGGAAACUGAUGGUGGAUUGCACCGGGGAAGGAGUUAUGUUUGUGGAGGCGGAUGCUGAUGUUACGCUUGAAGAAUUUGGAGAUGAACUUCAGCCUCCAUUUCCGUGUUUGGAAGAGCUUCUUUAUGAUGUUCCUGGCUCUGCUGGAGUUCUUAACUGUCCUCUGCUGCUUAUUCAGGUAGUUAUUUCUAUCAGUAUUAAAUUUUGAACCCAGUUAUUAACGUGUGAGAUCGUUGUGUUAGAAUCAUGAACAGGGAGCUUUUGUGUUUGACUUUUUGCUCAGAGUAGUGCAUUUUUCAUGACAAAAAUGUUGUGUCGAGACAAAAAAAAUUUUGGUUAAUUUUCAAUAUUUGAUUGUUAAUUAACCAAUAUACCAAUGAAUUAUAUGCAGGUAACUCGUCUCAAGUGUGGUAGUUUCAUAUUUGCAGUGCGAUUAAACCACACAAUGAGUGAUGCAACUGGUCUUGUUGAAUUCAUGACUGCCGUUGGUGAAAUGGCACGCGGGGCAUCUGCUCCAUCUACACUUCCAGUCUGGUGCAGGGAAUUGCUAAAUGCUCGAAAUCCGCCUCGAGUGACACGCACACACCAUGAGUACGACGAAGUUCCCGAUACAAAGGGUACAAUUGUCCCAUCAGAUGACAUGGUUCACAAAUCAUUCUUUUUUGGCCCUUCUGAGGUCUCAGCACUUCGUCGAUUUCUCCCACCUCAUUUGCGCAAAUGUUCCACUUUUGAACUGCUCACAUCAGUCAUUUGGCGCUGUCGAACAAUUUCUCUAAAAGCCGAUCCUGAAGAGGAAGUUCGCGUGCUUUGCCUUGUCAAUGCGCGUUUCAAGUUCAAUCCACCCUUACCUAAUGGCUUCUACGGCAACGCCUUUGCGUUCCCCGUAGCAGUCGCGACCGCGG
This 10023-nucleotide long non-coding RNA is filed under the name Solanum tuberosum (potato). Its description in RNAcentral is "long non-coding RNA (STUB_LNC007611)". The record is from RNAcentral. Lineage: Eukaryota; Viridiplantae; Streptophyta; Magnoliopsida; Solanales; Solanaceae.